RNAcentral lists this ribosomal RNA (233 nucleotides) under uncultured bacterium. RNAcentral describes it as "partial 16S ribosomal RNA". It matches the Rfam family "Bacterial small subunit ribosomal RNA", at positions 118 to 351 of the family's 1533-position model. The record is from RNAcentral.
UAAGUAACCUGCCCUUAACUCUGGGAUAAGCCUGGGAAACUGGGUCUAAUACCGGAUAUGACUCCUCAUCGCAUGGUGGGGGGUGGAAAGCUUUUUGUGGUUUUGGAUGGACUCGCGGCCUAUCAGCUUGUUGGUGAGGUAAUGGCUCACCAAGGCGACGACGGGUAGCCGGCCUGAGAGGGUGACCGGCCACACUGGGACUGAGACACGGCCCAGACUCCUACGGGAGGCAG